RNAcentral lists this ribosomal RNA (484 nucleotides) under uncultured bacterium. RNAcentral's name for it is "partial 16S ribosomal RNA". It matches the Rfam family "Bacterial small subunit ribosomal RNA", at positions 30 to 507 of the family's 1533-position model. The record is from RNAcentral.
AUUGAACGCUGGCGGCAGGCCUAACACAUGCAAGUCGAGCGGAUGAAGGGAGCUUGCUCCUGGAUUCAGCGGCGGACGGGUGAGUAAUGCCUAGGAAUCUGCCUGGUAGUGGGGGAUAACGUCCGGAAACGGGCGCUAAUACCGCAUACGUCCUGAGGGAGAACGUGGGGGAUCUUCGGACCUCACGCUAUCAGAUGAGCCUAGGUCGGAUUAGCUAGUUGGUGGGGUAAAGGCCUACCAAGGCGACGAUCCGUAACUGGUCUGAGAGGAUGAUCAGUCACACUAGAACUGAGACACGGUCCAGACUCCUACGGGAGGCAGCAGUGGGGAAUAUUGGACAAUGGGCGAAAGCCUGAUCCAGCCAUGCCGCGUGUGUGAAGAAGGUCUUCGGAUUGUAAAGCACUUUAAGUUGGGAGGAAGGGCAGUAAGUUAAUACCUUGCUGUGUUGACGUUACCAACAGAAUAAGCACCGGCUAACUUCGUG